GCUAGCCUCACCUCUCCUACCUCAUCAACAAUGAGACUGAAUGCUUGUGGUCUUCGGAGACUGGAAAGUUCAGUACAAGAUGCAGGGAAUACAAAGGUCAGUUCAUCUAUAGGUCAUGGUACUUUGCUCCAAAGGCACAUGAAAGUCAUUUGUAAUUCAAGACUGAGGCAGUCAUAAACAAUUCUGAUCUGAUUAUCCUUUUACUAAUCUGAUUUUGAUAAACAGCUGAUGAAAAUGGGAGGUGUCUGGUUAUCAGAGGAGAGAUACCCAGGCAGUGAAAUCAGUUUCUCUUAUCUCACUGGGCAGGGAUUUAUUUCAAGACUCCUAUUAAUAGCCUGCAAUGCCAAGAACUGUGAUCUCUACCCUGGAUUUCAAGAACCUUCUGAGCAGAGUGGCAGAAACCCAUUGGAUCCCCCCCACCCACCAAUACAAAUGGCAUUGCAAGGACUGGGGCUGUAGCUCAGUGGCAGAGCACUUGCUUAGCACAUGUGAGGCAUUGGGUUUGAUCUUCAGCACCACAUAAAA
RNAcentral lists this long non-coding RNA (525 nucleotides) under Ictidomys tridecemlineatus (thirteen-lined ground squirrel). RNAcentral describes it as "lncRNA (ENSSTOG00000033948.1)". The record is from RNAcentral. Lineage: Eukaryota; Metazoa; Chordata; Mammalia; Rodentia; Sciuridae.